RNAcentral lists this ribosomal RNA (195 nucleotides) under uncultured bacterium. RNAcentral describes it as "partial 16S ribosomal RNA". It matches the Rfam family "Bacterial small subunit ribosomal RNA", at positions 338 to 524 of the family's 1533-position model. The record is from RNAcentral.
UCUACGGGAGGCAGCAGUGGGGAAUAUUGGACAAUGGGCGCAAGCCUGAUCCAGCCAUGCCGCGUGUGUGAAGAAGGCCUUUUGGUUGUAAAGCACUUUAAGCGAGGAGGAGGCUACUUGGAUUAAUACUCUAGGAUAGUGGACGUUACUCGCAGAAUAAGCACCGGCUAACUCUGUGCCAGCAGCCGCGGUAAU